This 200-nucleotide unclassified non-coding RNA is filed under the name Cuphophyllus sp. RNAcentral describes it as "partial internal transcribed spacer 2". The record is from RNAcentral. Lineage: Eukaryota; Fungi; Basidiomycota; Agaricomycetes; Agaricales; Hygrophoraceae.
UUAAGUUCAGCGGGUAGUCCUACCUGAUUUGAGGUCAAAAUGUCAAUUAAGUGCUGUCCCUCUUGAAGGACGGUUAGAAGCUGAAGUCCCAUUCUAUAAGCUGCUUCACGGCUAUGGCGUAGAUAAUUAUCACACCAAAGACGGUCCACAAGGGUUUUCCGCUAAUGCAUUUAAAGGGAGCCGACUUGAAAGAAGCCCGC